GAUGAACGCUGGCGGCGUGCCUAAUACAUGCAAGUCGAGCGAACAGACGAGGAGCUUGCUCCUCUGACGUUAGCGGCGGACGGGUGAGUAACACGUGGGUAACCUACCUAUAAGACUGGGAUAACUUCGGGAAACCGGAGCUAAUACCGGAUAAUAUAUUGAACCGCAUGGUUCAAUAGUGAAAGACGGUUUUGCUGUCACUUAUAGAUGGAUCCGCGCCGCAUUAGCUAGUUGGUAAGGUAACGGCUUACCAAGGCAACGAUGCGUAGCCGACCUGAGAGGGUGAUCGACCACACUGGAACUGAGACGCGGUCCAGACUCCUACGGGAGGCAGCAGUAGGGAAUCUUCCGCAAUGGGCGAAAGCCUGACGGAGCAACGCCGCGUGAGUGAUGAAGGUCUUCGGAUCGUAAAACUCUGUUAUUAGGGAAGAACAAAUGUGUAAGUAACUAUGCACGUCUUGACGGUACCUAAUCAGAAAGCCACGGCUAACUACGUG
This 497-nucleotide ribosomal RNA is filed under the name uncultured bacterium. RNAcentral describes it as "partial 16S ribosomal RNA". It matches the Rfam family "Bacterial small subunit ribosomal RNA", at positions 28 to 507 of the family's 1533-position model. The record is from RNAcentral.